CUCCGGUUGAUCCUGCCGGACCCGACUGCUAUCGGAUUGAGAUUUAGCCAUGCGAGUCGAACGUCCCCCUGUUGCGGGGGGCGUGGCGUACGGCUCAGUAACACGUAGUCAACCUGCCCUGGAGACAAGGACAACCCCGGGAAACUGGGAUUAAUCCUUGAUAGGUCAUCUCAUCUGGAAGGAGAGAUGGCUUAAAGGGGUACGCGGGCUUCUUCCGCGAAUCUGCUCCAGGAUGGGACUGCGUCCGAUCAGGCUGUUGGCGGGGUAAUGGCCCACCAAACCUGUAACCGGUACGGGCCUUGAGAGAGGUGGCCCGGAGAUGGACACUGAGAGAAGGGUCCAGGUCCUACGGGGCGCAGCAGGCGCGAAACCUUCGCAAUGCGCGAAAGCGUGACGAGGUUAAUCCGAGUGACUCCCGCUGAGGGGGUCUUUUGUCAGCUGUAAAUAGGCAGGCGAAUAAGGGGAGGGCAAGCCUGGUGUCAGCCGCCGCGGUAAUACCAGCUCCUCGAGUGGUCGGGGCGAUUAUUGGGCCUAAAGCAUCCGUAGCCGGUUCCGUAGGUCCUCUGUUAAAUCCAACCGCUUAACGGUUGACCUGCAGAGGAUACCGCGGGACUAGGAGGCGGGAGAGGCGGACGGUACUCCGCGUGUAGGGGUAAAAUCCUUUGAUCCGCGGAAGACCACCAGUGGCGAAGGCGGUCCGCCAGAACGCGCUCGACGGUGAGGGAUGAAAGCUGGGGGAGCGAACCGGAUUAGAUACCCGGGUAGUCCCAGCCGUAAACGAUGCUAGCUAGAUGAUUCAUUCGCAAGUCGCGAAUGAAGUGUCGCAGGGAAGCCGUUAAGCUAGCCGCCUGGGGAGUACGGUCGCAAGACUGAAACUUAAAGGAAUUGGCGGGGGAGCA
This 899-nucleotide ribosomal RNA is filed under the name uncultured archaeon. RNAcentral's name for it is "bacterial SSU rRNA". It matches the Rfam family "Archaeal small subunit ribosomal RNA", at positions 1 to 878 of the family's 1478-position model. The record is from RNAcentral.